Molecule: long non-coding RNA, 3730 nt
Filed under: Sus scrofa (pig)
Lineage: Eukaryota; Metazoa; Chordata; Mammalia; Artiodactyla; Suidae
Description: lncRNA (ENSSSCG00015081126.1)
Source: RNAcentral
GGGGCGCUGGGACACAGGUUCAAUCCCCAGCCUAGUACAGUUGGGUUAAGGAGCCAGCAUUGCUGCAGCUUUGGCUUAGGUCAAGAGUGUGGCUCAGAUCUGAUUCCUGGCUCGGGGGUUCCACAUGCUGCGGGGCGGCCAAAGAUGAAAAAAAAAAAAAAUCUUUUCAUGGGAUAAAACAUGGCAAGUUGAUCUGUGGAGAACAUGAUUGGGAGCUGGUAUUAACUGUAAGCUGACAAACUAUUUCUCAUGAGAUAAGUGUUCACGUUGUUUGGAGGCGGGUGUGGGAGAAAACUUCAGGUUGGGGAUCAGAAUUUAGCGCUAAUGUUCUGUGACUCCAGCUGUUAACUGCUUUCUCACCCUGGGUCUCAGUUUGUCUGGUCUGUGAAAUGGCGAGGAUGGCGCUCGCCCUGUAUGGACUAGCUGAGCCAUCAUCUGCACCGGAACAGAGCCCGUGUGGGUCCUUUUUCUUUCUGGGGCUUCUUGACAUUCUGGGAGAAGCUGCAGCUCAUCCUGGAAGAAUCGCUGGGUUUCCAUUCUGCCUCUUCAAGCACCACCUCCCCUGAAGGGGCCUGGCAUGGCAAGCAGCGAUGUGUGGUCAGUGUCAUCUGGAGAGCAGUGAUGGGCGCUGUCUUUCCUCUGUCAUCGGGCACAUGGACAGCCCAGCAUCCAAGUGUCACUUUUGGAUGCUGUUGGGGGCUCAGAAAAUAGUCAUGAAGAGGACUCUUUUCUUGUCUGGAGGAUGGGGACUGGGUGUCAGAUGAGGGGAGUGGGUGGCUGGGGUCAUCAAUUUCCACAGUUAUUAUCUGAGAGCCAAUCUUGUUCGUGUUACAUUCCCAGGCUGACCGGCCCUCGCACCCCACUAUUUACAGUGUGGUCACUAAGGAAUUAUUUGUUGAAUGCUGAGCAUUAUAAGACAUUCCACAGCUAGACCGAAAGGAUAUGUGGCUGUCUAUAGAACAUCCUCGUGUGAUUCGAGGGUGCAGAUGUUAAUCACUGUGUAAAUAUCUGAGUAAUUACUGCACCGGCAGCAUUUUUAAGACGCUUUGUCCUGAAAGCAUGGAGCAAGUUGUUCUCACCAGUUGCACUUUAUCCAGACUUAAUAGCUGGCUGGCUUUGACACUAUCAGGAGGUAUUCUCUCUCUUUCUCUUUUUCCAUAAAGGAGAGGUUGACAUCUGCCUUGCGCAAGUGAAUUUCAAAACAUUUGGGAGCGAUUAUAGUGUGUGGAGGGCCUUCCUGACCCACUGAAGUGUCACUGCCUCGUUUAGAGGCUGAGAGGAAUUUGAACCCGUCAGGGUCCCUGGGCUGGUGGCAGAACUGACGUGGAGCCUGCUUUCCUGACUCCCAGGCCAGUGCUCUUUGUUCAAGAUACUCAGUGGCCUUCAAUCCUGCAGCCUUUGCAGAUAAUGGAAGUUUGAAGAACGUGCCCUCCCCACAGUGCACAGCUGGGAUGGGAGAUGGGUGGAGGCCGGUGUUAGCGAAUUUGAGAGAGGACUCCCCGCCGUUUGGGAGAUGGAGAAAUAACAGGUGUCUACAGUGUAUACGUGGAAGUGUGAUGAGCAGGGGAGUUUCCAUUGUGGCUCAAAGGUAACAAACCCGACCGGUAUCCAUGAGGAUGCAGGUUCCAUCCCUGGCCCUGCUCAGUGGGUUAAGGAUCGGGCAUUGGUAUGGCUGUGGUGUAGGCUCUGAUUCGACCCCUAGCCUGGGACCUUCCAUAUGCAGCGGGUGUGGCCCUCAAAAAAUAAUAAAAAAGGAAGCGUGAUGAGCAGCUGUUUUCCUUCCUCAUGAGAGGAAAUGGACUUAAAUUGCUCCAGGAAGGACUUAAGGGCAGAUAGUCAGGAGAACUUCCUGGCUCUGGCUCUGGGAACUCAUCAAAGGCAGAUGCUAUCAGCCGCCGACUCACACCUCCGCUGGCAGUGCUUUCUCUUUUCUCCCAGAGUGCGAGAGCAGAGCAGCCCCCUUAGUGGGCGAGGCACGUUUACCCAGCCUGGAAAUGCGUUCUAAGCAGAGCUUGUAUCCCCUAGGCUCAUUGUUUUCUGCUCUUUGCUAAACAGCUCUGGUCGGGUCAUUUUGGAUCAAGCCAAGCCUACCGAAACCAUGGAAGCUGCCUUGGCUGUCUUUUCUUAGCAGUAGGUCAGGGAAGACAGUGUUCCAGCUUUUAAUCGCUGUUACUCGGGAAUGGGCUGAACUUGCUACCACCGGGGUGCCGCUGAUGGCAGCACACUGCAAGGUGGUGACUGGUGACCUUUUGAAAAGAGAAUAGAACACACCCCUCUGCAUAUGACGAUCCGCUUGUACCUGUGCAUUGGGCACAUGGGAUGUUUACAUCCCAGGUGAAUGUGCCCUGUUUCAGCUGUGUAUUUCUCCUCAUGCAUCUGGGUAUUCAUUGCACCGUCAUACGUGUGGGACAUGUGUGGACAUGGAAAGCAUAUGCGUGGGUGGUGUGUGUGUGAACAUGUGCACGUGACCCUCGUCGGCUUCUCUUUCCAUGUCACCCACGGCUGCAUACACAUGCAGGUAUCUGCAGCACAUUCGCCAACGUCCGUUCUCCUAGCUCGUGCUAUUCCCCUUGCUUUGGGGGGAGAAAUUGUUCAUUGUUGGCAAUGCAGUAAAGAGAAGCCGAUUUCAAUGGAAUGUUCCCUUGCCCGGCAGACACAUUGCCACCGCUUUUAUGCUGCACAUUACACCAUGGUGAAAUUUAGUUAAUUUUAUGGUUUGUUAUUACAACAGCAGAGUGGAUUGAGAGAGGCAGCUUUUGUUGGCGCCAACAUCCCAAAUUUCCUGGGUGUGAUGGGAGUCAAAGCAGGGAGCUAGCAGUGGUUGGAAACCGAGUCCUCGCAGAAGCAAAGCGGCUGCUCUAAUUGGCUUUUAACUUUCAUAACUUAUUGCAAUUAGUUAAUGGGUCAACAGAGGCUUGUCUGCUGCCCUCAAAGAGUAUGUAUCUUGGGCUGGGAAUCAAAAGGCGAGUUCACCGAACACUAAGAAAACAACCAGGAGCUCAACUCUUUGGAUGGAAAGCAAACCUGUUUUGGUGAAGAGAGCGUUACAGCCUGAAUGUUUGAUGUCCGAUUCUCAGCUUUGCCAGUUACUGGCUCCUGCAUCUCUGACCUCAGUUUCUUCAUCUGAGAAGUGGGAUAGCAAUGGCGACCCUCUGGGGUUCCUGGGACAGGAGCUCCUGGAACUUAGCAGGUGCUCAGGAAAUGUUCCUUCUUCUCCCCUCUUGCUAAGGAAGUCUCUCUGUUCCAGAAUCUCUGGAGACAAGAGAAAGCCAGUGCUGUUGGGGUUUUGAAAUCAGACCGAGUACCAAAGGGGAAGGGAUUAAGAAUACACGGUGCUCUUCGAACCCCCAAAUCAGAGCACACGACCUGAGAACUUUGAAAGGAUUGUUUUGGACAUUCCACAGCAAACAUAGGUGCCGCCUGGAUCAGAGGCUGAGCACCUAGGGUGGGAACAUGACGAAAGCCAUUGGCUCACUGGGAGGUAUGCCAUCAGUCACUCCGAGUGAAGCAAAGCUAUUAGCAUUCUUAUUUAUACUACUAAUGAAGCUAAUUAAAUCUUAGAUCCGAAACAGAGUUGGUGUGGACCAGAAAACUUGGAGAGCAGAAGUGCUUUUCACAAGAAUAUGGCUUUCCUUGUUAUUCUUCUCAGCUGGGUCCUUGGAUCCCGCCACCAAUGGUAGGGCAAGCAGAUGACAAAGAAUAUGCCAGCCCCACUCUCAUUCCUCCAAGG